This 76-nucleotide transfer RNA is filed under the name Deltaproteobacteria bacterium. Its description in RNAcentral is "tRNA-Lys". It matches the Rfam family "tRNA". From Rfam's summary of the family: Transfer RNA (tRNA) molecules are approximately 80 nucleotides in length. Their secondary structure includes four short double-helical elements and three loops (D, anti-codon, and T loops). Lineage: Bacteria; Pseudomonadati; Myxococcota; Myxococcia. The record is from RNAcentral.
GGGACAUUAGCUCAAUUGGUAGAGCAGCUGACUCUUAAUCAGGAGGUUACAGGUUCGAUUCCUGUAUGUCCCACCA